Pipistrellus kuhlii (Kuhl's pipistrelle) is the source of this 295-nucleotide long non-coding RNA. RefSeq lists it as uncharacterized. The transcript is spliced from 3 exons. The record is from RefSeq and is a predicted model, not a curated record. Lineage: Eukaryota; Metazoa; Chordata; Mammalia; Chiroptera; Vespertilionidae.
ACAGAAAAGCAGAGAAAAGAAGAAAAUGAAGACUAUGCAAGGGGCUGAGGUGCCAACAUGGGGUCAGCUGAAGAAAGUUAACACCUGAGGCCCAGCAGAUGGCAGAAAAGCAAGAAGUGGAAGCUACUCCCUCAACCACGUUUCUGGCUCUGUUAGCAUUGGUUAGCUGCCAGUCUUCUGUUAAGUCUUGCACAGCCAAGUCUGAGGACUCUGAGUAAAUAUACACACCAGCAGAAAAAGAAACUCAUUUUGUAGCUGAAAAUGUUAACAUGUCUGUAGUUUGAUUGCUGUGUUG